This 200-nucleotide non-coding RNA is filed under the name Sterolibacterium denitrificans. Lineage: Bacteria; Pseudomonadati; Pseudomonadota; Betaproteobacteria; Nitrosomonadales; Sterolibacteriaceae. The record is from RNAcentral.
AGACUGGCUGCCGUCGAUGGUUCCCAAGUCGGGAUUGAAAGGGAAUCCGGUGCCAGGCCGUCGGCCUGAAACCCGGAACUGCCCCCGCAACUGUAAUCGGCAAGCGCUUCGGCACGACAUGCCACUGGAUUUUUCCGGGAAGGCGAGCGAAGCGCGUUGAGCCGAGAGUCAGGAGACCUGCCUCGAUGAGUCCUUUUUUC